CAAGGAACAAUCCACAGUAUACAAUUCAAAAUAAAAGUCGACGUUUGCUUUCCCCCCAUUUUUAUUGCUUCUCCCACCAAACUCUUUUAUUUUUAUUUUUUCCUCUAAAUAAAAAUAAUACAACAACAACCAUAAAAAAAAAUUAUAAUAAAAAAGUUGAGAAAAAAAAAGAAAAAAAAAAAGAAACUCCCACCAGUAUA
Molecule: unclassified non-coding RNA, 200 nt
Filed under: Hevea brasiliensis (rubber tree)
Lineage: Eukaryota; Viridiplantae; Streptophyta; Magnoliopsida; Malpighiales; Euphorbiaceae
Source: RNAcentral